GACGGUAACUGGGUCAUUAGCUCCUCUUGUGAAAGACGGCCCACAAGCUUUGUCAAACAGUUUAUGCACGUAACAAGAGUUUUCUCAUCCUCAGUAACCAAUAAAGGGACAACCACACUUAAACAUUUGAAUGGAUCAUACUGAGACAACAAGAUGCUCAGGCAGUGCUCAGCUUCAUUAGAAACUUUUGGAACAGCAUCCUUCGUAACAUGAAGCAGCUUCUCAAUCACAAUC
This 234-nucleotide unclassified non-coding RNA is filed under the name Hevea brasiliensis (rubber tree). Lineage: Eukaryota; Viridiplantae; Streptophyta; Magnoliopsida; Malpighiales; Euphorbiaceae. The record is from RNAcentral.